UAGGGGAUCUUGGACAAUGGGCGAAAGCCUGAUCCAGCCAUGCCGCGUGAGUGAUGAAGGCCUUAGGGAUGUAAAGCUCUUUCGCCAGGGAAGAUAAUGACGGUACCUGGAUAAGAAGCCCCGGCUAACUUCGUGCCAGCAGCCGCGGUAAUACGAAGGGGGCUAGCGUUGUUCGGAAUUACUGGGCGUAAAGCGCACGUAGGCGGCUUUCCAAGUUGGAGGUGAAAUCCCCGGGCUUAACCCGGGAACUGCCUCCAAAACUGAAAGGCGAGAGUCCGAGAGAGGUGAGUGGAAUUUCCAGUGUAGAGGUGAAAUUCGUAGAUAUUGGAAAGAACACCAGUGGCGAAGGCGGCUCACUGGCUCGGUACUGACGCUGAGGUGCGACAGCGUGGGGAGCAAA
This 400-nucleotide ribosomal RNA is filed under the name uncultured bacterium. RNAcentral's name for it is "bacterial SSU rRNA". It matches the Rfam family "Bacterial small subunit ribosomal RNA", at positions 355 to 772 of the family's 1533-position model. The record is from RNAcentral.